UUCAAUUUCCCACUAAGAAGCUAGAUGGUCUUUAAUACCUUGAUGAAAAAAAUAAAGUUCGAAGCUUUACAAGGUUUAUCAACUACUCAUACAUACCAUUCUUAUUUUUGUAUAAGAUGACUUCUCAGUGAUCUAUAUCUACUCAGCAAAUUUCAAAUAUUUAUAGAUUUGGAGAACCUAUUAGGGCUUUCAUGAGCCAUGAACCAACUUCGGUGGAAGAGGCUUCUUCAAGGACAGAACUAAAACUAUAGAGUUAGUAUCGGUAUGGUGCAGUGCUUCUUAUAACUGAUAAGGCGUUAUUGACUAAACACAUAGGUUUCUUCUUUAUUAAUUUUCACAUGUGCUUAGAUACCAAGUCACAAAAGUUAUAAGCAACAACUUGCUCCUCUGCUUUAGCCACUUUCUUAAUAUCAACAAGUAGACACACUUAAGCAGCAUUAGCCUCAGUUUCCAUUUAAACAUAAAGCUCGCCAUAUUACCAUUCAUAAUUUUCAUUUAAAUCAUACAUGGAUCUUUUACAAGUUAGUUUUUGAAGCUUCCGUAAUAAGCCUCCUACACCAUUAGAUGUCAUAUACCAAAUUCCACAGCAUGACUUAAGGUGCUUGAUUUGUAAUUCUUAGCUAUCUAUUUGGUUAUUUUUGCUUUUAUCACUUGUUCAUUUAUGUAUAUUAACUAAUAAAUCAAGUACCAUAUUCUUUCUAGGACAUGUAUCUCUUGAAAUAUAUGCUCCUGAAGUCAAGCGUUCAGAAGAAGUCAAGCAUUCUUUUUGAACAUUUCUAUGCUCGAGAUCAUCUUUAACAUACUGAUUUUUUAAUUCCAAUGAAACCUGAAGGUUUUGCCAGGUAAUAUGAAAGUGGAAUGCCUAAAAAGUACUCUUCGUGUUACAUUAGAGAUUUGGUGUUACAGUACAUAAAGUAACAAAUUGUGCCCAAAUGUUUAUCUGGUUAUAGCUCAUAAACUAUUGGUUUUGGAAUCUGGUUGUUCCUGUAUUGCUAUUAUUUUAACUUAUGACUGGAAUACAGGUUCAUUCUAGGAACAUCAUUGUUGGUGUUAUUAUCUUUUGAUGCCGUGAAAUAAGAUUUCCAAGUAGCAACAUAUUGAAUUAGCAUAUGCUACCUUUUUCUGUUCUUUCUUGUUGCGCUUCACCUAAAGGUUGAUAUAAUAUACUUGGAAUUUACUUUAAGUUUGUAUUUUAUUUAAAUAUUUGUGUGAAAGUAUAAGUGGUGGAUUGAUAUACCAUAUUAGCAUAUUUGGUAGACUAUUUGGUUAGGUCAUAACUGUUCUACUUUUACUUCAGUACAUGAAAUGCACAAGGAUUAUAUGUUUCAUGUAUAUUUAUAUAAAUACACUCACAUAUAUGCAAUCUUUUAACAUAUAUGAAGUGUGUCUUAUAAACAUGCUUCUAUGAUGAUUGCUUUCGAGUUCUAUUUUUCUUUGUUUGCAGAUUAAAACUAGCGAGCGGAACUCAGAACAAAAUUUACUUACCAUGGUUGCAGAAGACUUAAAGCUCCUCUCCUCCUCUAUCAGUUCAAAUGGUAAUGGCUAUUGACUAUUAUAUUGGUACCUCUUUUUGUUCAAUCUCUCAGCAUAAUAUUUUCUAUAUAUUUAUGUUUAUUAGUAAGAUGGUACGACCUAAAUCAGUCUAAGUAAUUCCUUGAAACAGUAGUGUUGGUUGUGCUUAUUUUGUGUUUAUUUUAUUUAUUUUAUUUUAUUAGGUUGUAGUCAUGCACAUGCUUCAAUUGAUAACAAUAUGCCAGUGGAAAGUGUUACUUUAUGCUAUAUGUGUCUUUUGUUUUUUAUACAAACUAUUAUUUAAUUGUUAUGCUUGAUUUAAGCAAAUUAUUCCAAUCACAACCUUGAUUUGUUCUGAAUUGUGCAUGCUCUAUAUCUUGGCAGUCACAAAAAUCUAUUUUAUUCAAGGGGGUAUAUUUUAUUUCUAAGAUGCCCUUUUACUGAUGGAUGAUUGGUGCAUUUCUUCUUUGUCAGUAUUUCUUAAGGUAAUGUACUUUAAAUUAAAAUGUUGAUGAAGAAGUUACUUACUUUUACAGGAGGCUUCUGGUAUUCUUGUCAUACCGCAUAUUCAUAGACUUCCUGAAGUUACGACAUUCUUAUUCUACUCAACCAGUUCAAGCAAGUAAAGAUGCUUAUUAAGACCAAGUAACUAUCAAAGCAUAUAAUUUGGACAAAGAUGUAUGAAGGACUUGCAUCAUCGAUUUAUCUGGUAUUAUCUAUGGUAACUUAGUCAUGCAGUUAUAGUAGCUUCCUCCUAGCAGAAGAUAUUUCAAAAAUCAAGUCAUGAACAAAUAGUGACUUUGAUCUAUCAUUUUGUAUGGUUUACCUUCGUGAAUUUAAUUUCAUUAGGGAGUGAGAUUCAUUAUUUCUGAAUCCACAGAUUUUGAAUAUGCAUGCUCUGUAUAGUAGGUGAUCUUUAAUAUUUGUCACUAUUUACUAAGAAUGGAACUGUACUUCUGUAUUAGUGAAAGUAUAGUUGUUCUAGAGUAUGUAU
Molecule: long non-coding RNA, 2506 nt
Filed under: Nicotiana tabacum (common tobacco)
Lineage: Eukaryota; Viridiplantae; Streptophyta; Magnoliopsida; Solanales; Solanaceae
Description: long non-coding RNA (NTAB_LNC001027)
Source: RNAcentral